Paramormyrops kingsleyae is the source of this 480-nucleotide non-coding RNA. The record is from RefSeq and is a predicted model, not a curated record. NCBI's taxonomy places the organism in Eukaryota, Metazoa, Chordata, Actinopteri, Osteoglossiformes, Mormyridae.
GUAAACGAUCACAUUAAGCAAGUUAAGUGGGGAAGGUGAAGUUAUUUUGAGCUCUUGGGGAUCUGUUUUGUUAUCAUCAAUCAAGAUAAUCGUAAAGACAUCCUGCAAGUGCUGAUGACAAGGCAAUGAGUCACAGCACCCAGAACAAACAUACCAGCGACUUGUUUCGAGAGGUUAUGUCGAAGAAGGCGUGUUUCUGAAUGGGAAGAGAGAAUGCGAGAUGAAGCAGAGCCUUGGAUUAUAAAGGACACCACUGCCCAGAAUGCCAAUGAUGUGGCUUGUCGCGCAGAUAUCUGCUUCAGUGGUCUCCUGUUGUCACCCCCAGCACUACUCAAGACUGAGAGCUAGAACUAACCAGUAGAGGUCACCAAAAUCCUGUGAUACAUGCCCUGCUCCACCCCCCCUUUUUAAGACAUGACAAGGGAGUUUGAGAUCAACGCCCUUUGUCCAGUUGGACGUCUCGGCCUGUCUUGCGUGUAC